UGGGGAAUUUUGGACAAUGGGCGCAAGCCUGAUCCAGCCAUGCCGCGUGCGGGAAGAAGGCCUUCGGGUUGUAAACCGCCUUUGUCAGGGAAGAAAUCUUCUGAGUUAAUACCUCGGGAGGAUGACGGUACCUGAAGAAUAAGCACCGGCUAACUACGUGCCAGCAGCCGCGGUAAUACGUAGGGUGCAAGCGUUAAUCGGAAUUACUGGGCGUAAAGCGUGCGCAGGCGGUUUUGUAAGACAGAGGUGAAAUCCCCGGGCUCAACCUGGGAACUGCCUUUGUGACUGCAAGGCUUGAGUGCGGCAGAGGGGGAUGGAAUUCCGCGUGUAGCAGUGAAAUGCGUAGAUAUGCGGAGGAACACCGAUGGCGAAGGCAAUCCCCUGGGCCUGCACUGACGCUCAUGCACGAAAGCGUGGGGAGCAAAACAGGAUUAGAUGGCCCUGGUAGUCCACGCCCUAAAACGAUGUCAACUGGUUGUUGGGAAGGUUCCUUCUCAGUAACGUAGCUAACGCGUGAAGUUGACCGCCUGGGGAGUACGGCCGCAAGGUUG
RNAcentral lists this ribosomal RNA (551 nucleotides) under uncultured bacterium. RNAcentral describes it as "partial 16S ribosomal RNA". It matches the Rfam family "Bacterial small subunit ribosomal RNA", at positions 355 to 896 of the family's 1533-position model. The record is from RNAcentral.